RNAcentral lists this long non-coding RNA (1215 nucleotides) under Citrus maxima (pomelo). Its description in RNAcentral is "long non-coding RNA (CMAX_LNC003138)". Lineage: Eukaryota; Viridiplantae; Streptophyta; Magnoliopsida; Sapindales; Rutaceae. The record is from RNAcentral.
UGUUAUAUAGCUUUUGGUCUUCAUCUGGGUUUUUGUUUUUACUGUGGGGUAGGUGGUCUGCUUUUGUUCUUUCUUAUCAGGCUAUAGCGUACAAUUUUUCUUGCCUAAAAAAAUUGCAUGUAAUAAAAAUUUUAAGCAUUAGCAUUCUUGAAAUCCUUUGUUUGAGCAAAAAUUGGUAUUUUAAGAAGCUUGAUGAUACAAUUCAGGGAAACUUGAGAUAUAAUUAAAUUUGUUCAUUUCACGGAUGCCCACUGUUGUUUUUUUUUUUUUCCCAAUGAAAAGAUUCAAAGAAAAAGUCUCUCUACAUCGUAGAUUUAUCAUCAUAUGCACUAGUUUUAUGAGUUUAGAAUGCACUACUUUUUGUCUCCUUAUUUGGUGAUUAUGUUGUAUUGUCUGGAUGAAUCUUGUGUUGUUGACAUUGGAUUUUUCUUUUUAAUUGUUUGCAGGGUGUAGCAAUAAAUUUUGUCAAAAACGAUGAUAUCAAGAUUCUUAGAGAUAUCGAGCAAUAUUACAGUACCCAGAUUGAUGAAAUGCCGAUGAAUGUUGCUGAUCUGAUAUAAGAGAUGUUUGUGAUCUCGUCUGCCAGAGUGGAGGUUAUGGGAUUGAUCAAUGAAAGGUUGAAGACAAUUGUGUGAUUGACAGUUUCUGCAAGUGUGACAUUGUCUUUUUUUUUUGUGAGGAGUUUGUAUAAUACAGGAUGUUCUCAUAUUUUCUGUAUGGUAUUGAUGACAAGAAAAGAGAAGAGAGUAGGCAUUAACAUUUGUGAUAAGAUUCUAGUGAUUGCCUUUUGCACCUUGACGUGAUUUUAAGGGUGGCGAUUUGUUCACUGUUGAAUUCAAGUUAUUUUAACCUUUUUUGAAAGAUUUUAACCCUUUUUGAAAGAUUGUAAACACUCUGGAAUAUUGCUCUUUCUUUCUCAUCUCUCUUCUUCAGUUGUCUCACUUGUAUAGGUAAGCUGUGCGAGCACCUUCAUUAUUUUGUGUUCAGCUUUUCGUAUCCUGCAUCUGCAGUCCGCUGAGGACUCGAUUGCAGAUGGUUAGUUUAUUACCAUACCUGACCCUCGUUGCUGGCUUGCUGCUUCGAAAACUCAUCAACCGUAGGAUUCAAAUGGACAAAACUAGAAAAAUAGAAUAAUGACCCUUCGAAAAAAUACAUCAACAGUGUUGGCUCUAGUUGUUUGCAUUAGUGACUUGACAGUUCUCAAAUGAUUUCAAG